Cyprinus carpio (common carp) is the source of this 299-nucleotide long non-coding RNA. RefSeq lists it as uncharacterized. The record is from RefSeq and is a predicted model, not a curated record. The transcript has 2 exons. Lineage: Eukaryota; Metazoa; Chordata; Actinopteri; Cypriniformes; Cyprinidae.
GUCUAGCAAGCGAAGCAAAGUGCUGAGUUGGAUUAGUUGGGUCUUCAUCCCCUGCAUCUGCUCUUCAAAGUUUUCAUGCUGAAACAAACAUGAGUGAUUUUUAAAAAAAAAAAAAAAUCUCCUAGACAACUACCAGUAAAACAUUUCAGACCCAAGAGUGCUAAAGAGAGAUGUGCUUAACGAACACACUGCAUUACCACUUCAUCCAUGAAGGAAACAAAGCACCAGAAGGCAUCCACUUCAUUCUCCAUCACGAAGAGAAUGGGAGAGAGCAGAUCACUCAUGCCCUGCACGUACCC